RNAcentral lists this transfer RNA (63 nucleotides) under Nepa hoffmanni. Its description in RNAcentral is "tRNA-Glu". The record is from RNAcentral. Lineage: Eukaryota; Metazoa; Arthropoda; Insecta; Hemiptera; Nepidae.
AUCCACAUAGUUUAAUAAAAACCUUUCAUUUUCAUUGAAAAUUUGAGCAAAGCUCUGUAGAUA